GAAAUUCAAACAACAUUUCCUCCCAUUUGCGAUCGAUUUUCACAUUGCUUGUUUCAUCGACGAAUCCGGCCUCUCGUCCAUCUUCUCCAUCUCCGAAAUCGGGUACGGUGUGAAUUUUUGGUUGGAGCUCCCGAUGUCGUCCCACUCCAAAUCAAAAGUGGAAAGAUAAAAUAAAAAUACCCACCAGAGCUAUACAUACAGCCUCCUGUAUGUAUAUUAGUUUUGAGAGAGAGAGAGAGACAGAUCUAAGCUCGACCGGCUUCAACUUUUUCUCUCCAAAUCAGCUCAAUUUUGUAGUUUCUACGGGUAAUUUUUUUAAUUUUCUGUACCUUUUUUAAAUAACCAGGUGAGAAGGGUUCUAAAUGUUGGGGGAAUAUAGGUUUUUUUCGAUUGGUGGGUAAUGGUGGAAUGGAUUCAGUUUGCAUCUUCUCUAGUUAGUUUGCAUCCUCUGUAAUUUUCUCCCAAUUGUAUUACCCCAUUUAGGGACAAAUUCUUCUGUCUGAAUGUUUUCAUUAUUCUUCUUGUUAUUUUCAUUUGCAAACAACCCCUUUGGCGACCCAAACGUUAUUGGUGACUCUUAUUGCAUUCUCUUUGUAGGCCGUCUCUCUCCCCUCACAACUGAAGACACUCUCUGCCAGGUAUCCUUUUUCUUAGAUUUGUUAAUUUAUCCAAUUGAAUUGAAAUUAUUGGUUCUUUAAAGUUUUUUGAUCAUUUUGUUUCUCUUUGAAUAUGUAUGGUUCAAUUUAGGAUCAAUUUAUUACUUUUGUUUGUUUUCUCAAGUUAUGAGCAAAUAUGGAAGGGUCAAGAACUUGUGGCCGGUCAGACAUAUAGGUAAUUUCCCUUUAUGUUUUCCUUGAGUGUUUUUAACUGAAUAGACCCACAAGUUGUUUGGUUGAUUUCCUUAGAGGAAAUCCCCUACUUUAAUAUGUUUUAAGGCUUGGGAUGAAUGUUGCCUAGUACUAACAUAUAUUUCUUCCCUACUAAUUAGUGGAACUCUUUAGAUAUCGCCUAUCUUAAUAUACAUAUAUACGAGAUGAACGAGAUGUCGAGAUUUCAGUGAACGUGACAUUUCACAAGGAGAAAGGAUGGGCGGAGGAGUUUGGGAAAGGAAAGGACCCAACACAGCAUGUUUUAGUAAUUAGUUGUCGAACGAGUUGUAGUUGUGUUGUGUUCGUUUUGUAUUUGCUAUCGAGAAAUGGUGUUUUGAGAGCAACUAAGUAUUUGACAGAUGUUUACCAUAACAGCUCUGCACCAUUUUUAUAACUGUUGUAUGUGUUUUAUUUUUAUUCCUUGAGGCCUAAAGAAUUUACUCCUUUGCGUUUCAAGUAACAACUCUGUUUCGGCAUUACAUAAUAGCAUUUUAACGUGUUAGACCAGUCAGCAACAUAUGUGUGCAAAACAAGACCACUAGUUUUGGUAUAUUUUAAAUGAGAUGCUAACUUUCUAUGAGCAUGCAGUAAGUUAGCUUGAUCUCAGUAAAACUCAGUAAAACAAUAUGCAUUCAUGACAGCUCUCAUUCAUGAGUGAAAUUUAUGUGUUUAUGCUGAACCUGAACAAAUGAACUAAAACUUGAUGUUUUAACUAAAAAAGUACCACAACAGGAGAGAGACUACAAUUGCAAUGCACCACAUAUUUCGAACUAAGCUACCACAUUUGGAACCAUUUGCUCUUCAUCAAUUAAACAAAACAAGAUUUAAUUAUAUUCACAUAUCUCACAUAGUCCAACUAACAACUACAACCAAGAAUUUUGCAAUUCCAGCAUGGUUCCUAAUUGCACCAACAGUCCUGAUAUCGCAUUCCAGCACUACUAAUAUCGCAAUAUUGAUAUCCCUUCCAGCACUACUGAUAUCGCAUUGCAGCACCAACCUCAGGGACAGUCAAACCAUCUCUCACUACCAUCUCAUCUUCCACGACAUUCAUAUUGUCCUCCACAUUCUCAUUUUCGGAAUCAACGGACAAAACCUCUUCCAUAUUUGGUUGACCCUGCAAAACAUUAACACUCAACCAAUAUUUACGUGUUCAAAAUGCCCAACUUUGAGUGGUUUAUUUAGGUACAUAAAUAACAGGUCAACAAUAUUGGAAUGUCAUCUAAGUACUGGCUAUUCCCAACACAGCAUUACAACAUAUUUUGUAUCUAACACUGAGAAUCCCAUUUGGCAACAAAUUUAUAAUACAAAACCACGAAAGUUUCCGGUAUAUAAUCCCUUCAACAAAUCAAUGCAAUGAAUUCUUGAAUAUUAACAACUACACUAUUGUUUUUUCCUAAAUGAAUCGAUAUUUUUUCCUUUGGCUAAUGUAUAUUUUAUUUUAUUUUAUUUUUUGCUGCAGAUACCCAGCUAACAUUACUCUCCUAAGUGGAAAUCAUGAGAGCAUGAAAUUCACUCAGUUAAAUGGAAUCAGUAUAUAAGCUCAAAGAGGAAAUGCAAGUGCACAUGAGGGUAAAUGUUUCAGCUAUUUUUUGAAUCAUUUGGAAAAAAAAAUAAGAAAAAGCAGAAUUUUUGAAGGAAAGGAGCAAGUAGUAGCUGACUUAUGACCAACUGACCGAGGGAAAAACUUUUAGCAUUUUUUCAAGUUUUUAGGGAUGAGGAGUCUUAAGUAUUUUCCUUUCUCCUCAAUUUUAUUCUUGAUUUCCUCUUUCCCCUUUUGGUUGGCAGACUCAAAUGGACGAACUGAUUUUCUAGCACACAAUGGAAAACAUUGCAUUAUCACUUCAUCACAGACAGAUUCGGUCAUAAUCCAUAAAUUCAUACCCGAUUUGUUGCCUAGCCACCACCUUCCUGCUGGAUUCUCAGACCAAUUUCAAGCUAAGCUCAACUACACCUUCCUGCAGUGUCGAAACCCCUAAUUUCGCUCCAACUCGCUAUUAAUGUAAUAAGUAGAUUAGGUUAAGGGUAGUUUAUACUUUUACAUUUCCUUAGUUUUGUACUAUAUAAACCUUUGUAUCUUGUAUAUGUUUGCCCUAAGUUUGGAGGCUGCUAUCAAUCGAUUCCUUCUUCCUCUCCAUUCUUCACUUGGUCCUUUGAUUGAUUUAUCUUUGGUUUGUUGUUUUCUACACUCGCAACCCUCCACUCUCUAAUUUUGUUAAAAUCUUGUGAGUUGAUUUGGGAGAGCUGGGGAGACAGAGCACGAUGGGGGAGAGAGAGAGAAAUUACCACCAUUUUAAGAAUUUUGUUUUUUUAAUACCAAGUUGCAAGAAAACCAAUUUGGCGCCACUUUCCAUUAUUGUCAACUUAAAAUCCGAACCGUCCAUUUCCUUCCAUUUGAACCGUACACGUCACUUUGUAAAGGAACUUUGUAACCCAAC
RNAcentral lists this long non-coding RNA (3304 nucleotides) under Olea europaea (common olive). RNAcentral describes it as "long non-coding RNA (OEUR_LNC003569)". The record is from RNAcentral. Lineage: Eukaryota; Viridiplantae; Streptophyta; Magnoliopsida; Lamiales; Oleaceae.